This 85-nucleotide transfer RNA is filed under the name Candidatus Peribacteria bacterium. RNAcentral describes it as "tRNA-Leu". It matches the Rfam family "tRNA". Rfam says of the family: Transfer RNA (tRNA) molecules are approximately 80 nucleotides in length. Their secondary structure includes four short double-helical elements and three loops (D, anti-codon, and T loops). The record is from RNAcentral. Lineage: Bacteria; Candidatus Peregrinibacteriota; Candidatus Peribacteria.
GCCGGGGUGAUGAAAUUGGUAGACAUGUUGGUCUUAGAAACCAAUGCCUAACCGCGUAAGAGUUCAAGUCUCUUCCUCGGCACCA